GACGAACGCUGGCGGCGUGCUUAACACAUGCAAGUCGAACGGAAAGGCCCUGCUUUUGUGGGGUGCUCGAGUGGCGAACGGGUGAGUAACACGUGAGUAACCUGCCCUUGACUUUGGGAUAACUUCAGGAAACUGGGGCUAAUACCGGAUAGGAGCUCCUGCUGCAUGGUGGGGGUUGGAAAGUUUCGGCGGUUGGGGAUGGACUCGCGGCUUAUCAGCUUGUGGGUGGGGUAGUGGCUUACCAAGGCUUUGACGGGUAGCCGGCCUGAGAGGGUGACCGGCCCCCUUGCUCCUGCGAUACGGCGCAGACUCCUACGUGAGGCAGCAGUGGGGAAUAUUGCACAACGGGCGGAAGCCUGAUGCAGCAACGCCGCGUGCGGGAUGACGGCCUUCGGGUUGUAAACCGCUUUCGCCUGUGACGAAGCGUGAGUGACGGUAAUGGGUAAAGAAGCACCGGCUAACUACGUG
Molecule: ribosomal RNA, 468 nt
Filed under: uncultured bacterium
Lineage: Bacteria
Description: partial 16S ribosomal RNA
Rfam family: Bacterial small subunit ribosomal RNA
Source: RNAcentral